AAGUGCGAAUGCUGACAUAAGUAACGAUAAAACGGGUGAAAAACCCGUUCGCCGGAAGACCAAGGGUUCCUGUCCAACGUUAAUCGGGGCAGGGUGAGUCGGCCCCUAAGGCGAGGCUGAAAAGCGUAGUCGAUGGGAAACAGGUUAAUAUUCCUGUACUUGGUAAAGCUGCGAUGUGGGGACGGAGUAGGUUAGGUUAGCGUGCUGUUGGAUAUGCACGUUUAAGUUGGUAGGUGGGAAGUUUAGGCAAAUCCGGACUUCUAUUAAACACUGAGAGAUGAUGACGAGGCUCUACGGAGCUGAAGUAACUGAUACCACACUUCCAGGAAAAGCCACUAAGCGACAGGCUUUACUAAACCGUACUGAAAACCGACACAGGUGGUCAGGUAGAGAAUACUCAGGCGCUUGAGAGAACUCGGGUGAAGGAACUAGGCAAAAUAGCACCGUAACUUCGGGAGAAGGUGCGCCGGCGUAGAUUGUAAGGGCUUGCCCCUGAAGGUUGAACCGGUCGAAGAUACCAGCUGGCUGCAACUGUUUAUUAAAAACACAGCACUCUGCAAACACGAAAGUGGAGGUAUAGGGUGUGAUGCCUGCCCGGUGCUGGAAGGUUAAUUGAUGGUGUAAUCGAAAGAGAAGCACCUGAUCGAAGCCCCAGUAAACGGCGGCCGUAACUAUAACGGUCCUAAGGUAGCGAAAUUCCUUGUCGGGUAAGUUCCGACCUGCACGAAUGGCAUAAUGAUGGCCAGGCUGUCUCCACCCGAGACUCAGUGAAAUUGAAAUCGCCGUGAAGAUGCGGUGUACCCGCGGCUAGACGGAAAGACCCCGUGAACCUUUACUAUAGCUUGACACUGAACAUUGAAUUUUGAUGUGUAGGAUAGGUGGGAGACUAAGAAGUAGGAACGCCAGUUUCUAUGGAGUCAUCCUUGAAAUACCACCCUUUAACGUUUGAUGUUCUAACGAAGAUUACGAAACGUGGUCUCGGACAGUGUCUGGUGGGUAGUUUGACUGGGGCGGUCUCCUCCCAAAGCGUAACGGAGGAGCACGAAGGUUUGCUAAUCACGGUCGGACAUCGUGAGGUUAGUGCAAUGGUAUAAGCAAGCUUAACUGCGAGACAGACAAGUCGAGCAGGUACGAAAGUAGGUCAUAGUGAUCCGGUGGUUCUGAAUGGAAGGGCCAUCGCUCAACGGAUAAAAGGUACUCCGGGGAUAACAGGCUGAUACCGCCCAAGAGUUCAUAUCGACGGCGGUGUUUGGCACCUCGAUGUCGGCUCAUCACAUCCUGGGGCUGAAGUAGGUCCCAAGGGUAUGGCUGUUCGCCAUUUAAAGUGGUACGCGAGCUGGGUUUAGAACGUCGUGAGACAGUUCGGUCCCUAUCUGCCGUGGGCGUAGGAGAAUUGGUUGGGGCUGCUCCUAGUACGAGAGGACCGGAGUGGACGCACCACUGGUGUUCCGGUUGUGUCGCCAGACGCAUUGCCGGGUAGCUAAGUGCGGAAGAGAUAAGUGCUGAAAGCAUCUAAGCACGAAACUUGCCAAGAGAUGAGUUCUCCCUGUCUUUAAGACAGUAAGGGUUGUUUAAGACGAAGACGUAGAUAG
This 1592-nucleotide ribosomal RNA is filed under the name Haemophilus influenzae. RNAcentral describes it as "bacterial LSU rRNA". It matches the Rfam family "Bacterial large subunit ribosomal RNA", at positions 1286 to 2859 of the family's 2925-position model. Lineage: Bacteria; Pseudomonadati; Pseudomonadota; Gammaproteobacteria; Pasteurellales; Pasteurellaceae. The record is from RNAcentral.